AUGCCUUAAACUGAUGAGUAAGGAAAAUAACGACGCGGGGUGACGCCCGUGUUCUCGCAGACUCUCGCGAGGAGAAUUUUUGUAAGGGCACAGGUCCGUCUGCGAGGUGACUCACCUACUUAGUGAGAUGCCGAGCAGAGCCAGGAUCUGCCCU
This is a small nuclear RNA of Cyprinus carpio (common carp), 154 nucleotides long. Its record names the gene U12. It matches the Rfam family "U12 minor spliceosomal RNA". Rfam says of the family: Although the U12 sequence is very divergent from that of U2, the two are functionally analogous. The record is from Ensembl. NCBI's taxonomy places the organism in Eukaryota, Metazoa, Chordata, Actinopteri, Cypriniformes, Cyprinidae.